UUCCGGUUGAUCCUGCCGGAGGCCACUGCUAUGGGGGUCCGACUAAGCCAUGCGAGUCAUGGGGCGCCUUGCGCGCACCGGCGGACGGCUCAGUAACACGUCGGUAACCUACCCUCGGGAGGGGGAUAACCCCGGGAAACUGGGGCUAAUCCCCCAUAGGCCUGAGGUACUGGAAGGUCCUCAGGCCGAAAGGGGCUCUGCCCGCCCGAGGAUGGGCCGGCGGCCGAUUAGGUAGUUGGUGGGGUAACGGCCCACCAAGCCGAAGAUCGGUACGGGCCAUGAGAGUGGGAGCCCGGAGAUGGACACUGAGACACGGGUCCAGGCCCUACGGGGCGCAGCAGGCGCGAAACCUCCGCAAUGCGGGCAACCGCGACGGGGGGACCCCCAGUGCCGUGGCAUCGCCACGGCUUUUCCGGAGUGUAAAGAGUUCCGGGAAUAAGGGCUGGGCAAGGCCGGUGGCAGCCGCCGCGGUAAUACCGGCGGCCCGAGUGGUGGCCGCUAUUAUUGGGCCUAAAGCGUCCGUAGCCGGGCCCGUAAGUCCCUGGCGAAAUCCCACGGCUCAACCGUGGGGCUUGCUGGGGAUACUGCGGGCCUUGGGACCGGGAGAGGCGGAGGGUACUCCUGGGGUAGGGGUGAAAUCCUAUAAUCCCAGGAGGACCGCCAGUGGCGAAGGCGCUCCGCUGGAACGGGUCCGACGGUGAGGGACGAAGGCCAGGGGAGCGAACCGGAUUAGAUACCCGGGUAGUCCUGGCUGUAAAGGAUGCGGGCUAGGUGUCGGGCGAGCUUCGUGCUCGCCCGGUGCCGAAGGGAAGCCGUUAAGCCCGCCGCCUGGGGAGUACGGCCGCAAGGCUGAAACUUAAAGGAAUUGGCGGGGGAGCACUACAAGGGGUGGAGCGUGCGGUUUAAUUGGAAUCAACGCCGGA
RNAcentral lists this ribosomal RNA (923 nucleotides) under uncultured archaeon. RNAcentral describes it as "bacterial SSU rRNA". It matches the Rfam family "Archaeal small subunit ribosomal RNA", at positions 1 to 922 of the family's 1478-position model. The record is from RNAcentral.